CCUACGGGUGGCAGCAGUGAGGAAUAUUGGUCAAUGGACGCAAGUCUGAACCAGCCAUGCCGCGUGCAGGAAGACGGCUCUAUGAGUUGUAAACUGCUUUUGUACGAGGGUAAACGCAGAUACGCGUAUCUGUCUGAAAGUAUCGUACGAAUAAGGAUCGGCUAACUCCGUGCCAGCAGCCGCGGGAAUACGGAGGAUUCAAGCGUUAUCCGGAUUUAUUGGGUUUAAAGGGUGCGUAGGCGGUCGGAUAAGUUAGAGGUGAAAUCCCGAGGCUCAACUUCGGAAUUGCCUCUGAUACUGUUCGGCGAGAGAGUAGUUGAGGUAUGCGGAAUGUAUGGUGUAGCGGUGAAAUGCUUAGAGAUCAUACAGAACACCGAUUGCGAAGGCAGCUUACCAGGCUACUUCUGACGUUGAGGCACGAAAGCGUGGGGAGCAAACAGGAUUAGAUACCCUGGUAGUC
RNAcentral lists this ribosomal RNA (460 nucleotides) under uncultured bacterium. RNAcentral's name for it is "partial 16S ribosomal RNA". It matches the Rfam family "Bacterial small subunit ribosomal RNA", at positions 338 to 795 of the family's 1533-position model. The record is from RNAcentral.